RNAcentral lists this ribosomal RNA (478 nucleotides) under uncultured bacterium. Its description in RNAcentral is "partial 16S ribosomal RNA". It matches the Rfam family "Bacterial small subunit ribosomal RNA", at positions 28 to 523 of the family's 1533-position model. The record is from RNAcentral.
GACGAACGCUGGCGGCGUGCUUAACACAUGCAAGUCGAACGGUAAGGCCCUUCGGGGUACACGAGUGGCGAACGGGUGAGUAACACGUGGGUGAUCUGCCCUGCACUUCGGGAUAAGCCUGGGAGACUGGGUCUAAUACCGGAUAGGACCCUGGGAUGCAUGUCCUGGGGUGGAAAGCUUUUGCGGUGUGGGAUGGGCCCGCGGCCUAUCAGCUUGUUGGUGGUGUGAUGGCCUACCAAGGCGACGACGGGUAGCCGGCCUGUGAGGGUGACCGGCCACACUGGGACUGAGAUACGGCCCAGACUCCUACGGGAGGCAGCAGUGGGGAAUAUUGCACAAUGGGCGCAAGCCUGAUGCAGCGACGCCGCGUGAGGGACGACGGCCUUCGGGUUGUAAACCUCUUUCAGCACCGACGAAGCGCAAGUGACGGUAGGUGCAGAAGAAGGACCGGCCAACUACGUGCCAGCCGCCGCCGUAA